Molecule: ribosomal RNA, 253 nt
Filed under: uncultured bacterium
Lineage: Bacteria
Description: partial 16S ribosomal RNA
Rfam family: Bacterial small subunit ribosomal RNA
Source: RNAcentral
UACGAAGGGGGCUAGCGUUGCUCGGAAUCACUGGGCGUAAAGCGCACGUAGGCGGACUCUUAAGUCGGUGGUGAAAUCCUGGAGCUCAACUCCAGAACUGCCUUCGAUACUGGGAGUCUCGAGUCCGGGAGAGGUGAGUUGAACUGCGAGUGUAGAGGUGAAAUUCGUAGAUAUUCGCAAGAACACCAGUGGCGAAGGCGGCUCACUGGCCCGGUACUGACGCUGAGGUGCGAAAGCGUGGGGAGCAAACAGG